UACGUAGGGGGCGAGCGUUGUCCGGAUUUAUUGGGCGUAAAGAGCUCGUAGGCGGCCUGUCGCGUCGGCUGUGAAAACCCGAGGCUCAACCUCGGGCCUGCAGUCGAUACGGGCAGGCUAGAGUUCGGUAGGGGAGACUGGAAUUCCUGGUGUAGCGGUGAAAUGCGCAGAUAUCAGGAGGAACACCGGUGGCGAAGGCGGGUCUCUGGGCCGAAACUGACGCUGAGGAGCGAAAGCGUGGGGAGCGAACAGG
Molecule: ribosomal RNA, 253 nt
Filed under: uncultured bacterium
Lineage: Bacteria
Description: partial 16S ribosomal RNA
Rfam family: Bacterial small subunit ribosomal RNA
Source: RNAcentral